CUGCUGUUUCCUCCGAGAGCCGGGCGGCCGACUGCGGAUUUUCUGCAAUGAGAACCAGAUCUGCUGGCAAGAAGUGGAAGCAGCAGCUCGGCGGAGAUGUCUGUCUGAGGGCUCGCCGGUCACCUCUGUCCUGCCGAAGUGUCCUCGGGCAAGGCGACCGACCUCUGACCCCUCCCUCCUCCAGCCCGUCACUGACGGCCGUCAAUCAGCGUCGCCAUAGAGACCUCUAUCUGGACAACACCUGUCCCGGAUUGGUCCAACUCCAAAACCUUUAUGUAAC
Molecule: long non-coding RNA, 280 nt
Organism: Salarias fasciatus (jewelled blenny)
Lineage: Eukaryota; Metazoa; Chordata; Actinopteri; Blenniiformes; Blenniidae
Exons: 3
Source: RefSeq, a predicted model, not a curated record